This 301-nucleotide ribosomal RNA is filed under the name uncultured bacterium. Its description in RNAcentral is "partial 16S ribosomal RNA". It matches the Rfam family "Bacterial small subunit ribosomal RNA", at positions 509 to 809 of the family's 1533-position model. The record is from RNAcentral.
CAGUCGCCACGGUAAUACAGAGGGUGCAAGCGUUAAUCGGAAUUACUGGGCGUAAAGCGCGCGUAGGUGGUUUGUUAAGUUGGAUGUGAAAGCCCCGGGCUCAACCUGGGAACUGCAUCCAAAACUGGCAAGCUAGAGUACGGUAGAGGGUGGUGGAAUUUCCUGUGUAGCGGUGAAAUGCGUAGAUAUAGGAAGGAACACCAGUGGCGAAGGCGACCACCUGGACUGAUACUGACACUGAGGUGCGAAAGCGUGGGGAGCAAACAGGAUUAGAUACCCGAGUAGCCCUGUCUCUUAUACA